GCGCCCAUAGCUCAACAGGAUAGAGCACUGGAUUUCUAAUCCAGGGGUUGGGAGUUCGAGCCUCUCUGGGCGCGCCA
Molecule: transfer RNA, 77 nt
Filed under: Oceanotoga teriensis
Lineage: Bacteria; Thermotogati; Thermotogota; Thermotogae; Petrotogales; Petrotogaceae
Also listed under: 1 other name
Description: tRNA-Arg
Rfam family: tRNA
About the family: Transfer RNA (tRNA) molecules are approximately 80 nucleotides in length. Their secondary structure includes four short double-helical elements and three loops (D, anti-codon, and T loops).
Source: RNAcentral